GCCGGGCGUUGUGGCGGGCGCCUGUAGUCCCAGCUACUUGGGAGGCGGAGGCAGGAGACUCGCUUGAGCCCAGGAGUUGGAGGUUGCUGUGAGCUGUGAUGCCAUGGCACUCUACCCAGGGGAAUAGCUUGAGGCUCUGUCUAAAAAAAAAAAAAGAAACUGAGGUUACUGUGAGCUAUAAUGAUGCCACAGCACUCUGCCCAGGGUGACAGAGUGAGACUCUGUCUCAA
This 230-nucleotide signal recognition particle RNA is filed under the name Otolemur garnettii (small-eared galago). Its description in RNAcentral is "Metazoan signal recognition particle RNA". It matches the Rfam family "Metazoan signal recognition particle RNA". Rfam says of the family: The signal recognition particle (SRP) is a universally conserved ribonucleoprotein. It is involved in the co-translational targeting of proteins to membranes. The eukaryotic SRP consists of a 300-nucleotide 7S RNA and six proteins: SRPs 72, 68, 54, 19, 14, and 9. Lineage: Eukaryota; Metazoa; Chordata; Mammalia; Primates; Galagidae. The record is from Rfam by way of RNAcentral.